Molecule: ribosomal RNA, 464 nt
Filed under: Promyrmekiaphila sp. ORRb2
Lineage: Eukaryota; Metazoa; Arthropoda; Arachnida; Araneae; Euctenizidae
Description: partial 16S ribosomal RNA
Rfam family: Bacterial large subunit ribosomal RNA
Source: RNAcentral
UCGCCUGUUUAUCAAAAACAUUUCUAAAUGUAAAUUAUUUUUAGUAAGACCUGCUCAAUGACCCUUUAAAUUGCCGCAUUCAAUGUGCUAAGGUAGCAUAAUCAUUUGCCUUUUAAUUACAGGCUAGUAUGAAUGGUUAUUCAUGUAGAUUUCUUUAUUAACUUUAUAUCUUCAAUUUGUCUUUUAAGUUAAAAGACUUUUAUUUAUUAGAGGGACGACAAGACCCUAUCGAGCUUUACUUAUGUUGAACUGGGGCGGUAAAAAACAAAUUCUUUUUUUUAUUCCUUCAAUUAUUCUUUCAAUAAAAAUUUUUAAGUUACCGUAGGGAUAACAGCAUAAUCUUCUUUUAAAGCUCCUAUUAAAAAGAAAGUUUAUGACCUCGAUGUUGAAUUAUUAAUCUUUUUGAAGCAAAAUUUAAAAAAGAAAGUCUGUUCGACUUUUAAAACUUUACGUGAUCUGAGUUC